CUUCACUGACUGGUCAGAGCAUAUGACACAGAUAUUCAGACCCUGCCUUUGAGCGUAAUACUUCUUCCUUCUGCCACGACUUGCUGAUCAAAGAAUGAGCUCAGGACUUAAGGUCCUGGAAAACCUCAAUUUGUGAGUAAUUAUAUUUAAGUGUGCGUGAAUUGUGCAACGCUCUAUAUAUUUAGUCUUUGAUAUUAAAUCUUUCAAACUUCUUAAUUAUAUCUCCAGGGAAGUCGUUCUACUUAAUGUCCACGCUUAAAGAGUUGAGCCAAUCUGUUAAGAAAGGAAUCACAUCAAACUCCUCCACGCAAACGAAGGUUACCCCUGCAGGCCAGAUUCCCCUGUUCCACUACACAGAGCGCUAACUCUCUCGUCACCAUUUUUAAAUGAUUAAACUUGUCCUUUUGCUCUGG
Podarcis lilfordi (Lilford's wall lizard) is the source of this 413-nucleotide non-coding RNA. Lineage: Eukaryota; Metazoa; Chordata; Lepidosauria; Squamata; Lacertidae. The record is from the annotation of a GenBank genome assembly.